Molecule: ribosomal RNA, 1446 nt
Filed under: uncultured Eubacteriales bacterium
Lineage: Bacteria; Bacillati; Bacillota; Clostridia; Eubacteriales
Description: uncultured Clostridiales bacterium partial 16S ribosomal RNA
Rfam family: Bacterial small subunit ribosomal RNA
Source: RNAcentral
GACGAACGCUUGCGGCGUGCCUAAGAAAUGCCCGUUGAGCGGAUGAUAGGACUUCGGUCCUUGAUUCAGCGGCGAACGGUCGCGUAACACGUAACCAACCUGCCCCGAAGACCGGGACAACAUCUCGAAAGGGGUGCUAAUACCGGAUGUGGCCUUCUGGAGACAUCUCCGGGAGAUUAAACCGAGCAAUCGGCUUCGGGAGGGGGUUGCGGCCUAUCAGCUAGAUGGUGGGGUAAUGGCCUACCAUGGCGACGACGGGUAGCUGGUCUGAGAGGACGAUCAGCCGGAUUGGGACUGAGAUACGGCCCAGACUCCUACGGGGGGCAGCAAUUAGGAAUCUUGCACAAUGGGCGAAAGCCUGAUGCAGCGACGCCGCGUGGAGGAUGAAGUCCUUCGGGAUGUAAACUCCUUUUAAGAGGGAAGAAAAAAAUGACGGUACCUCUUGAAUAAGCUCCGGCUAACUACGUGCCAGCAGCCGCGGUAAUACGUAGGGAGCGAGCGUUGUCCGAAGUUACUGGGCGUAAAGCGCGCGUAGGCGGGAAAUUAAGUGAGAAGUGAAAGGCUGAGGCUCAACCUCAUGUAUUGCUUCUCAUACUGGUUUUCUUGAGGGCGGUAGGGAGAAGUGGAAUGGCUGGUGUAGCGGUGAAAUGCGUAGAUAUCAGUCGGAACACCGGUGGCGAAGGCGGCUUCUUGGGCCGUUCCUGACGCUGAGGCGCGAAAGCUAGGGUAGCAAACGGGAUUAGAUACCCUGGUAGUCCACGCUGUAAACGAUGGAUACUAGGUGUGGGAGGUAUCGACCCCUUCCGUGCCGCAGCAAACGCAAUAAGUAUCCCGCCUGGGGAGUACGGUCGCAAGGCUGAAACUCAAAGGAAUUGACGGGGGCCCGCACAAGCGGUGGAGCAUGUGGUUUAAUUCGAUGCAACGCGAAGAACCUUACCAGGUCUUGACAUCUGUAGAACCUUGAUGAAAGUUAAGGGUGCCUUCGGGAGCUACAAGACAGGUGGUGCAUGGUUGUCGUCAGCUCGUGUCGUGAGAUGUUGGGUUAAGUCCCGCAACGAGCGCAACCCUUGCUAUUAGUUGCUAACAUUUCGGAUGAGCACUCUAAUGGGACUGCCCGUGACAAGCGGGAGGAAGGUGGGGAUGACGUCAAAUCAUCAUGCCCUUUAUGAUCUGGGCUACACACGUGCUACAAUGGAUGGUACAAAGGGAAGCAAGACCGCGAGGUGGAGCAAAUCCCAAAAAGCCAUUCUCAGUUCGGAUUGGAGUCUGCAACUCGACUCCAUGAAGUCGGAAUCGCUAGUAAUUGCGAAUCAGCAUGUCGCAGUGAAUGCGUUCCCGGGCCUUGUACACACCGCCCGUCACACCACGAAAGUCGGCAACACCCGAAGCCGGUGAGCUAACUCGCAAGAAAAGCAGCCGUCGAAGGUGGGGUUGGUAAUUGGGGUG